RNAcentral lists this long non-coding RNA (684 nucleotides) under Homo sapiens (human). Its description in RNAcentral is "HSALNT0348066". Lineage: Eukaryota; Metazoa; Chordata; Mammalia; Primates; Hominidae. The record is from RNAcentral.
ACACACACAUCUCUGCCGGAAGUGAUGUCACGGCAUGGGCGCCCGCCCACCGGAGGAGCGACUGGAGUUGAUCGGCUGGGCGCUCAGAACCUGGACAACUACCCUCAAUUGGUAACAUAUUUUGGUGAGCCAGCCAGAAGGAUCAAGUCUGUGAUACCUGAAGCCUCAGACCUGGAACCUGAAGUUUCCUUCAGCCACUACACCUGUGAACCUGUGGAAGACCUGAAGUGCCUGUUUAGAAGACAGCCAAAAGAUAAAGACCAUUGAGCUUCAUAUGAUCAUGCAACAACAUUGCCAGCCAGUUCCAAAUGAAGAUAGCACCCCCAGCGAUCAAUAAACUACCCUGCCUCCACUGGAUAGAGCAGGGAAAAAUUUCCAUGAUCAGCAAUAGGUAGGGAUUGCACCCCAAGUUAGCAUGAAGCAGCUACAGAAGAAAGACCAUCAAUCCCUCUGCUUCCCAUAAAGAUUUAUGGGAAUCACAUCUCUCAGGGGGAAUAUGAGGCAGGAAAAUAGGGUCUGGAAGCAGGGAACCUAAGGUUUAUUCAUGCUGACUGGAUAUCAGAGGCUACUCUCUUUACGACCUCUCCUUCUCUGUGGCAGUUGAAAAAUGAGACCAAUAUCCCUGAUGAACAUCAAUGCAAAAAUCCUCAAUAAAAUAUUGGCAAACAGAAUCCAGCAGCACAU